UGCCGCAGCUGCUGUGGCAUGGGCGCAUCUUUGUAAGGAGGCGUACAAACCGCCUUCAUGACCGUUUCGCCACCACACGGCAUUCGCCUCUUCCUCUCUCCUCUCCGGGCCAGCCACAAACGCACACACGCACAGGCGACGAAAUCUCCGGAUCCUUUCACGACGCAGCCGCUCCCCUCGUUCUCAUGGGUACCUACCUCUCCCUCCUGGUGCGCAAGCGACCAAGAGAAGAUGGAUCGGACGACGCAUCCUCUGCAGCCGGCUGCAGCGCCUCCCAUGCGGCGUCUCUUCCACCCUCCUCUCUCUCACACCUGCUUCGAAGCUUGCGAUAUCGCUGCGCUUCCCCGAGCCGUAUCGGGUCGGAGGUGUGCCGUUCCGUUGCGGAAGAUGAGGCGACGCGCCGCACGUACGGCUGUCACGCACACGUAUACGAGACCGACACCGUCGACGGGAGCCACGGCGUGGCCCUGGCGUGGCGCGUCGACGAGUUUGCUUCGCCUCUGUCGGCGCUCUCCCUCCUCUCACUGUGUCGUGUGGCCAACAGCUGCCGCAAAAAGACGCUGGUGACGACUCCAAAAGGCGAGGCAGUAGUACUAGCCUACGCCGCCGCCCUGUAGGAGCGGUGGCCGUGCGCAGGUGCACGCACGUGCCCACAGAGCAGGAUGGGCGACCGCGCUUGUUGCUUGCUUCUUUUUUUUCCUUUACCGUACUGCUCUCUCCCGCCUACUGUCCACCGGCAGGUGGUGGGCCCACUACCAAGCGAAAUGGAGCGGCAAAGCUCCCACAGACCCGUUUCCCUCAACAAGAACGGUGCUGACCGUUGCCUGGGGGCGUUUCUGUCUACCCUGCUCCUCCUCGUGGUGCGCCUCUUCUCCGCGGCGAGAGAUGUGCAACCACUUACACACCGACACCCACGCCCACACACACGCGUACACACACACACACAUAUAUAUAUAUACAUAUAUGUACGUAAACGCACCCGUGCAUUCCUUCGACUUUUGUUCUUCUCCUGCAUCUUUUUGUGCCCGUCGUUCUUCCUCCGACUCUCCGUGCCAUUUCGCUUGCGCGCGUGCUUUCGCCUGUCACCCAUUAUGCAUCCAUCAAUGAGGCAGCCGAC
This 1117-nucleotide unclassified non-coding RNA is filed under the name Leishmania donovani. RNAcentral's name for it is "gene:LdHU3.30.4660(CDS-product:hypothetical_prote in)". The record is from RNAcentral. Lineage: Eukaryota; Euglenozoa; Kinetoplastea; Trypanosomatida; Trypanosomatidae.